This 253-nucleotide ribosomal RNA is filed under the name uncultured bacterium. Its description in RNAcentral is "partial 16S ribosomal RNA". It matches the Rfam family "Bacterial small subunit ribosomal RNA", at positions 524 to 776 of the family's 1533-position model. The record is from RNAcentral.
GACGGAGGGUGCUAGCGUUGUUCGGAAUCACUGGGCGUAAAGGGCGCGUAGGCGGCGCCGGCAGUCGGCCGUGAAAGCCCGGGGCUCAACCCCGGAGGUGCGGCCGAGACGCCGGUGCUGGAGGCCGGAAGAGGAGGGUGGAAUACCCAGUGUAGAGGUGAAAUUCGUAGAUAUUGGGUGGAACACCGGUGGCGAAAGCGGCUCUCUGGUCCGGACCUGACGCUGAGGCGCGAAAGCGUGGGGAGCAAACAGG